Molecule: transfer RNA, 56 nt
Filed under: Metastrongylus salmi
Lineage: Eukaryota; Metazoa; Nematoda; Chromadorea; Rhabditida; Metastrongylidae
Description: tRNA-Leu
Source: RNAcentral
GUCAAUAUAGCAUAAUAAAUGUGUCUGUUUUAAGUGUAGGAGAUAGAUUUUGAUUA